GGGUUGUGAGGUUAAGCGACUAAGCGUACACGGUGGAUGCCCUGGCAGUCAGAGGCGAUGAAGGACGUGCUAAUCUGCGAAAAGCGUCGGUAAGGUGAUAUGAACCGUUAUAGCCGGCGAUGUCCGAAUGGGGAAACCCAGUGCAAUUCGUUGCACUAUCGUUAACUGAAUACAUAGGUUAACGAGGCGAACCGGGGGAACUGAAACAUCUAAGUACCCCGAGGAAAAGAAAUCAACCGAGAUUCCCCCAGUAGCGGCGAGCGAACGGGGAGCAGCCCAGAGUCUGAAUCAGCUUGUGUGUUAGUGGAACGGUCUGGAAAGUCCGACGGUACAGGGUGAUAGUCCCGUACACCAAAAUGCACAGGCUGUGAACUCGAAGAGUAGGGCGGGACACGUGGUAUCCUGUCUGAAUAUGGGGGGACCAUCCUCCAAGGCUAAAUACUCCUGACUGACCGAUAGUGAACCAGUACCGUGAGGGAAAGGCGAAAAGAACCCCGGCGAGGGGAGUGAAAAAGAACCUGAAACCGUGUACGUACAAGCAGUGGGAGCACCUUCGGGUGUGACUGCGUACCUUUUGUAUAAUGGGUCAGCGACUUAUAUUCUGUAGCAAGGUUAACCGUAUAGGGGAGCCGCAGGGAAACCGAGUCUUAACUGGGCGUUAAGUUGCAGGGUAUAGACCCGAAACCCGGUGAUCUAGCCAUGGGCAGGUUGAAGGUUGGGUAACACUAACUGGAGGACCGAACCGACUAAUGUUGAAAAAUUAGCGGAUGACUUGUGGCUGGGGGUGAAAGGCCAAUCAAACCGGGAGAUAGCUGGUUCUCCCCGAAAGCUAUUUAGGUAGCGCCUCGUGAAUUCAUCUUCGGGGGUAGAGCACUGUUUCGGCUAGGGGGUCAUCCCGACUUACCAACCCGAUGCAAACUACGAAUACCGAAGAAUGUUAUCACGGGAGACACACGGCGGGUGCUAACGUCCGUCGUGAAGAGGGAAACAACCCAGACCGCCAGCUAAGGUCCCAAAGUCAUGGUUAAGUGGGAAACGAUGUGGGAAGGCACAGACAGCCAGGAUGUUGGCUUAGAAGCAGCCAUCAUUUAAAGAAAGCGUAAUAGCUCACUGGUCGAGUCGGCCUGCGCGGAAGAUGUAACGGGGCUAAACCAUGCACCGAAGCUGCGGCAGCGACACUAUGUGUUGUUGGGUAGGGGAGCGUUCUGUAAGCCUGCGAAGGUGUGCUGUGAGGCAUGCUGGAGGUAUCAGAAGUGCGAAUGCUGACAUAAGUAACGAUAAAGCGGGUGAAAAGCCCGCUCGCCGGAAGACCAAGGGUUCCUGUCCAACGUUAAUCGGGGCAGGGUGAGUCGACCCCUAAGGCGAGGCCGAAAGGCGUAGUCGAUGGGAAACAGGUUAAUAUUCCUGUACUUGGUGUUACUGCGAAGGGGGGACGGAGAAGGCUAUGUUAGCCGGGCGACGGUUGUCCCGGUUUAAGCAUGUAGGCUGGUUAUCCAGGCAAAUCCGGAUAAUCAAGGCUGAGGUGUGAUGACGAGGCACUACGGUGCUGAAGUAACAAAUGCCCUGCUUCCAGGAAAAGCCUCUAAGCAUCAGGUAACAUCAAAUCGUACCCCAAACCGACACAGGUGGUCAGGUAGAGAAUACCAAGGCGCUUGAGAGAACUCGGGUGAAGGAACUAGGCAAAAUGGUGCCGUAACUUCGGGAGAAGGCACGCUGGUGUGUAGGUGAAGUCCCUGCGGAUGGAGCUGAGACCAGUCGAAGAUACCAGCUGGCUGCAACUGUUUAUUAAAAACACAGCACUGUGCAAACACGAAAGUGGACGUAUACGGUGUGACGCCUGCCCGGUGCCGGAAGGUUAAUUGAUGGGGUUAUCCGUAAGGAGAAGCUCUUGAUCGAAGCCCCGGUAAACGGCGGCCGUAACUAUAACGGUCCUAAGGUAGCGAAAUUCCUUGUCGGGUAAGUUCCGACCUGCACGAAUGGCGUAAUGAUGGCCAGGCUGUCUCCACCCGAGACUCAGUGAAAUUGAACUCGCUGUGAAGAUGCAGUGUACCCGCGGCAAGACGGAAAGACCCCGUGAACCUUUACUAUAGCUUGACACUGAACAUUGAGCCUUGAUGUGUAGGAUAGGUGGGAGGCUUUGAAGCGUGGACGCCAGUCUGCGUGGAGCCAACCUUGAAAUACCACCCUUUAAUGUUUGAUGUUCUAACGUUGGCCCCUGACCGGGGUUGCGGACAGUGUCUGGUGGGUAGUUUGACUGGGGCGGUCUCCUCCCAAAGCGUAACGGAGGAGCACGAAGGUUAGCUAAUCCUGGUCGGACAUCAGGAGGUUAGUGCAAUGGCAUAAGCUAGCUUGACUGCGAGCGUGACGGCGCGAGCAGGUGCGAAAGCAGGUCAUAGUGAUCCGGUGGUUCUGAAUGGAAGGGCCAUCGCUCAACGGAUAAAAGGUACUCCGGGGAUAACAGGCUGAUACCGCCCAAGAGUUCAUAUCGACGGCGGUGUUUGGCACCUCGAUGUCGGCUCAUCACAUCCUGGGGCUGAAGUAGGUCCCAAGGGUAUGGCUGUUCGCCAUUUAAAGUGGUACGCGAGCUGGGUUUAGAACGUCGUGAGACAGUUCGGUCCCUAUCUGCCGUGGGCGCUGGAGAAUUGAGGGGGGCUGCUCCUAGUACGAGAGGACCGGAGUGGACGCAUCACUGGUGUUCGGGUUGUCAUGCCAAUGGCACUGCCCGGUAGCUAAAUGCGGAAGAGAUAAGUGCUGAAAGCAUCUAAGCACGAAACUUGCCCCGAGAUGAGUUCUCCCUGAGACUUUAAGUCUCCUGAAGGAACGUUAAAGACGAUGACGUUGAUAGGCCGGGUGUGUAAGCGCAGCGAUGCGUUGAGCUAACCGGUACUAAUGAACCGUGAGGCUUAACCUUACAACGCCGAAG
RNAcentral lists this ribosomal RNA (2923 nucleotides) under Klebsiella pneumoniae. Its description in RNAcentral is "23S ribosomal RNA". It matches the Rfam family "Bacterial large subunit ribosomal RNA". Lineage: Bacteria; Pseudomonadati; Pseudomonadota; Gammaproteobacteria; Enterobacterales; Enterobacteriaceae. The record is from RNAcentral.